GUGAACGCUGGCGGUAGGCCUAACACAUGCAAGUCGAACGGCAGCACAGUAAGAGCUUGCUCUUACGGGUGGCGAGUGGCGGACGGGUGAGGAAUACAUCGGAAUCUACUUUUUCGUGGGGGAUAACGUAGGGAAACUUACGCUAAUACCGCAUACGACCUACGGGUGAAAGCAGGGGAUCUUCGGACCUUGCGCGAUUGAAUGAGCCGAUGUCGGAUUAGCUAGUUGGCGGGGUAAAGGCCCACCAAGGCGACGAGCCGUAGCUGGUCUGAGAGGAUGAUCAGCCACACUGGAACUGAGACACGGUCCAGACUCCUACGGGAGGCAGCAGUGGGGAAUAUUGGACAAUGGGCGCAAGCCUGAUCCAGCCAUACCGCGUGGGUGAAGAAGGCCUUCGGGUUGUAAAGCCCUUUUUUUGGGAAAGAAAAGCAGCAGGUUAAUACCCCGCUGUUCUGACGGUACCCAAAGAAUAAGCACCGGCUAACUUCGUG
Molecule: ribosomal RNA, 491 nt
Filed under: uncultured bacterium
Lineage: Bacteria
Description: partial 16S ribosomal RNA
Rfam family: Bacterial small subunit ribosomal RNA
Source: RNAcentral